This 2772-nucleotide ribosomal RNA is filed under the name Escherichia coli. RNAcentral describes it as "bacterial LSU rRNA". It matches the Rfam family "Bacterial large subunit ribosomal RNA". Lineage: Bacteria; Pseudomonadati; Pseudomonadota; Gammaproteobacteria; Enterobacterales; Enterobacteriaceae. The record is from RNAcentral.
AGCGUACACGGUGGAUGCCCUGGCAGUCAGAGGCGAUGAAGGACGUGCUAAUCUGCGAUAAGCGUCGGUAAGGUGAUAUGAACCGUUAUAACCGGCGAUUUCCGAAUGGGGAAACCCAGUGUGUUUCGACACACUAUCAUUAACUGAAUCCAUAGGUUAAUGAGGCGAACCGGGGGAACUGAAACAUCUAAGUACCCCGAGGAAAAGAAAUCAACCGAGAUUCCCCCAGUAGCGGCGAGCGAACGGGGAGCAGCCCAGAGCCUGAAUCAGUGUGUGUGUUAGUGGAAGCGUCUGGAAAGGCGCGCGAUACAGGGUGACAGCCCCGUACACAAAAAUGCACAUAUUGUGAGCUCGAUGAGUAGGGCGGGACACGUGGUAUCCUGUCUGAAUAUGGGGGGACCAUCCUCCAAGGCUAAAUACUCCUGACUGACCGAUAGUGAACCAGUACCGUGAGGGAAAGGCGAAAAGAACCCCGGCGAGGGGAGUGAAAAAGAACCUGAAACCGUGUACGUACAAGCAGUGGGAGCCUCUUUUAUGGGGUGACUGCGUACCUUUUGUAUAAUGGGUCAGCGACUUAUAUUCUGUAGCAAGGUUAACCGAAUAGGGGAGCCGAAGGGAAACCGAGUCUUAACUGGGCGUUAAGUUGCAGGGUAUAGACCCGAAACCCGGUGAUCUAGCCAUGGGCAGGUUGAAGGUUGGGUAACACUAACUGGAGGACCGAACCGACUAAUGUUGAAAAAUUAGCGGAUGACUUGUGGCUGGGGGUGAAAGGCCAAUCAAACCGGGAGAUAGCUGGUUCUCCCCGAAAGCUAUUUAGGUAGCGCCUCGUGAAUUCAUCUCCGGGGGUAGAGCACUGUUUCGGCAAGGGGGUCAUCCCGACUUACCAACCCGAUGCAAACUGCGAAUACCGGAGAAUGUUAUCACGGGAGACACACGGCGGGUGCUAACGUCCGUCGUGAAGAGGGAAACAACCCAGACCGCCAGCUAAGGUCCCAAAGUCAUGGUUAAGUGGGAAACGAUGUGGGAAGGCCCAGACAGCCAGGAUGUUGGCUUAGAAGCAGCCAUCAUUUAAAGAAAGCGUAAUAGCUCACUGGUCGAGUCGGCCUGCGCGGAAGAUGUAACGGGGCUAAACCAUGCACCGAAGCUGCGGCAGCGACACUAUGUGUUGUUGGGUAGGGGAGCGUUCUGUAAGCCUGUGAAGGUGUACUGUGAGGUAUGCUGGAGGUAUCAGAAGUGCGAAUGCUGACAUAAGUAACGAUAAAGCGGGUGAAAAGCCCGCUCGCCGGAAGACCAAGGGUUCCUGUCCAACGUUAAUCGGGGCAGGGUGAGUCGACCCCUAAGGCGAGGCCGAAAGGCGUAGUCGAUGGGAAACAGGUUAAUAUUCCUGUACUUGGUGUUACUGCGAAGGGGGGACGGAGAAGGCUAUGUUGGCCGGGCGACGGUUGUCCCGGUUUAAGCGUGUAGGCUGGUUUUCCAGGCAAAUCCGGAAAAUCAAGGCUGAGGCGUGAUGACGAGGCACUACGGUGCUGAAGCAACAAAUGCCCUGCUUCCAGGAAAAGCCUCUAAGCAUCAGGUAACAUCAAAUCGUACCCCAAACCGACACAGGUGGUCAGGUAGAGAAUACCAAGGCGCUUGAGAGAACUCGGGUGAAGGAACUAGGCAAAAUGGUGCCGUAACUUCGGGAGAAGGCACGCUGAUAUGUAGGUGAAGUCCCUCGCGGAUGGAGCUGAAAUCAGUCGAAGAUACCAGCUGGCUGCAACUGUUUAUUAAAAACACAGCACUGUGCAAACACGAAAGUGGACGUAUACGGUGUGACGCCUGCCCGGUGCCGGAAGGUUAAUUGAUGGGGUCAGCGCAAGCGAAGCUCUUGAUCGAAGCCCCGGUAAACGGCGGCCGUAACUAUAACGGUCCUAAGGUAGCGAAAUUCCUUGUCGGGUAAGUUCCGACCUGCACGAAUGGCGUAAUGAUGGCCAGGCUGUCUCCACCCGAGACUCAGUGAAAUUGAACUCGCUGUGAAGAUGCAGUGUACCCGCGGCAAGACGGAAAGACCCCGUGAACCUUUACUAUAGCUUGACACUGAACAUUGAGCCUUGAUGUGUAGGAUAGGUGGGAGGCUUAGAAGUGUGGACGCCAGUCUGCAUGGAGCCGACCUUGAAAUACCACCCUUUAAUGUUUGAUGUUCUAACGUGGACCCGUGAUCCGGGUUGCGGACAGUGUCUGGUGGGUAGUUUGACUGGGGCGGUCUCCUCCUAAAGAGUAACGGAGGAGCACGAAGGUUGGCUAAUCCUGGUCGGACAUCAGGAGGUUAGUGCAAUGGCAUAAGCCAGCUUGACUGCGAGCGUGACGGCGCGAGCAGGUGCGAAAGCAGGUCAUAGUGAUCCGGUGGUUCUGAAUGGAAGGGCCAUCGCUCAACGGAUAAAAGGUACUCCGGGGAUAACAGGCUGAUACCGCCCAAGAGUUCAUAUCGACGGCGGUGUUUGGCACCUCGAUGUCGGCUCAUCACAUCCUGGGGCUGAAGUAGGUCCCAAGGGUAUGGCUGUUCGCCAUUUAAAGUGGUACGCGAGCUGGGUUUAGAACGUCGUGAGACAGUUCGGUCCCUAUCUGCCGUGGGCGCUGGAGAACUGAGGGGGGCUGCUCCUAGUACGAGAGGACCGGAGUGGACGCAUCACUGGUGUUCGGGUUGUCAUGCCAAUGGCACUGCCCGGUAGCUAAAUGCGGAAGAGAUAAGUGCUGAAAGCAUCUAAGCACGAAACUUGCCCCGAGAUGAGUUCU